CUACGGAGGGUGCAAGCGUUACUCGGAAUCACUGGGCGUAAAGCGCGCGCAGGCGGCUAUUUAAGUUGGAUGUGAAAGCCUACGGCUCAACCGUAGAACUGCAUCCAAAACUAUUUGGCUAGAGUGUGGGAGAGGAAGAUGGAAUUAGUUGUGUAGGGGUAAAAUCCGUAGAGAUAACUAGGAAUACCAAAAGCGAAGGCAAUCUUCUGGAACACUACUGACGCUGAGGCGCGAAAGCGUGGGGAGCAAACGGGAUUAGAAACCCUAGUAGUCC
This 274-nucleotide ribosomal RNA is filed under the name uncultured bacterium. RNAcentral's name for it is "partial 16S ribosomal RNA". It matches the Rfam family "Bacterial small subunit ribosomal RNA", at positions 523 to 796 of the family's 1533-position model. The record is from RNAcentral.